RNAcentral lists this unclassified non-coding RNA (369 nucleotides) under uncultured bacterium. RNAcentral describes it as "contains 16S-23S intergenic spacer region". The record is from RNAcentral.
ACCUCAUAUUAUUGAUGAGACUGUUGCUAUGCUGCUGCUGGAAAACAGCUCUUAGAUCCUUCUACCAAGGGGAGAAGUCUACACUAUUUCUACCAUAACAUAAAGCAUUCCACCCACCAUAUAUAUUUGGACAUCAAGAGUCUAGCCCAAAGCUCGUUCUGGUUAUUUGCCAAGUCCCAUCCCCAUUUACCAAUCAAGGCCUCAUUAAACUUGGACAUAUUUUUAACCCCAAGCCCCCCUUUGUUCUUGGGAAGACAAACAGUAUCCCAAUUGACCCACUGUAUCUUGGCUGCCUCAGAACCUCCUCCCCACAAAAAAUUCCUCUGAAUAGAAACUACCUUAUGCACCAGAUUUUUAGGGAUAAAUAGG